UGGCUCGUAGCUCAGGGGUAGAGCACCACCUUGACAUGGUGGGGGUCGGCGGUUCGACACCGCCAGAGCCAA
Molecule: transfer RNA, 72 nt
Filed under: Mariprofundales bacterium
Lineage: Bacteria; Pseudomonadati; Pseudomonadota; Candidatius Mariprofundia; Mariprofundales
Description: tRNA-Val
Rfam family: tRNA
About the family: Transfer RNA (tRNA) molecules are approximately 80 nucleotides in length.
Source: RNAcentral